GUGACUGCGUACCUUUUGUAUAAUGGGUCAGCGACUUAUAUUCUGUAGCAAGGUUAACCGUAUAGGGGAGCCGGAGGGAAACCGAGUCUUAACCGGGCGUUAAGUUGCAGGGUAUAGACCCGAAACCCGGUGAUCUAGCCAUGGGCAGGUUGAAGGUUGGGUAACACUAACUGGAGGACCGAACCGACUAAUGUUGAAAAAUUAGCGGAUGACCUGUGGCUGGGGGUGAAAGGCCAAUCAAACCGGGAGAUAGCUGGUUCUCCCCGAAAGCUAUUUAGGUAGCGCCUCGUGAAUUCAUCUCCGGGGGUAGAGCACUGUUUCGGCUAGGGGGCCAUCCCGGCUUACCAACCCGAUGCAAACUGCGAAUACCGGAGAAUGUUAUCACGGGAGACACACGGCGGGUGCUAACGUCCGUCGUGAAGAGGGAAACAACCCAGACCGCCAGCUAAGGUCCCAAAGUCAUGGUUAAGUGGGAAACGAUGUGGGAAGGCCCAGACAGCCAGGAUGUUGGCUUAGAAGCAGCCAUCAUUUAAAGAAAGCGUAAUAGCUCACUGGUCGAGUCGGCCUGCGCGGAAGAUGUAACGGGGCUAAACCAUGCACCGAAGCUGCGGCAGCGAACGUAUCACCCAAGACAACUUUACGGAGUUGACGAUUGACGGAGCGAAGCGACGUCAAAGCGUUCAUUAAAGUCGAGUUGGCUUAGGGAUACGUUCGUUGGGUAGGGGAGCGUUCUGUAAGCCUGUGAAGGUGUGUCGUGAGGCAUGCUGGAGGUAUCAGAAGUGCGAAUGCUGACAUAAGUAACGAUAAAGCGGGUGAAAAGCCCGCUCGCCGGAAGACCAAGGGUUCCUGUCCAACGUUAAUCGGGGCAGGGUGAGUCGACCCCUAAGGCGAGGCCGAAAGGCGUAGUCGAUGGGAAACGGGUUAAUAUUCCCGUACUUGGUGUUACUGCGAAGGGGGGACGGAGAAGGCUAUGUUGGCCGGGCGACGGUUGUCCCGGUUUAAGCGUGUAGGUGUGUGUUCCAGGUAAAUCCGGUUCACUUUAACACUGAGGCGUGACGACGAGGCACUACGGUGCUGAAGCAACAAAUGCCCUGCUUCCAGGAAAAGCCUCUAAGCAUCAGGUAACACGAAAUCGUACCCCAAACCGACACAGGUGGUCAGGUAGAGAAUACCAAGGCGCUUGAGAGAACUCGGGUGAAGGAACUAGGCAAAAUGGUGCCGUAACUUCGGGAGAAGGCACGCUGACACGUAGGUGAAGUGAUUUACUCAUGGAGCUGAAGUCAGUCGAAGAUACCAGCUGGCUGCAACUGUUUAUUAAAAACACAGCACUGUGCAAACACGAAAGUGGACGUAUACGGUGUGACGCCUGCCCGGUGCCGGAAGGUUAAUUGAUGGGGUCAGCGCAAGCGAAGCUCCUGAUCGAAGCCCCGGUAAACGGCGGCCGUAACUAUAACGGUCCUAAGGUAGCGAAAUUCCUUGUCGGGUAAGUUCCGACCUGCACGAAUGGCGUAAUGAUGGCCAGGCUGUCUCCACCCGAGACUCAGUGAAAUUGAACUCGCUGUGAAGAUGCAGUGUACCCGCGGCAAGACGGAAAGACCCCGUGAACCUUUACUAUAGCUUGACACUGAACAUUGAGCCUUGAUGUGUAGGAUAGGUGGGAGGCUUUGAAGUGUGGACGCCAGUCUGCAUGGAGCCGACCUUGAAAUACCACCCUUUAAUGUUUGAUGUUCUAACGUGGACCCGUAAUCCGGGUUGCGGACAGUGUCUGGUGGGUAGUUUGACUGGGGCGGUCUCCUCCUAAAGAGUAACGGAGGAGCACGAAGGUUGGCUAAUCCUGGUCGGACAUCAGGAGGUUAGUGCAAUGGCAUAAGCCAGCUUGACUGCGAGCGUGACGGCGCGAGCAGGUGCGAAAGCAGGUCAUAGUGAUCCGGUGGUUCUGAAUGGAAGGGCCAUCGCUCAACGGAUAAAAGGUACUCCGGGGAUAACAGGCUGAUACCGCCCAAGAGUUCAUAUCGACGGCGGUGUUUGGCACCUCGAUGUCGGCUCAUCACAUCCUGGGGCUGAAGUAGGUCCCAAGGGUAUGGCUGUUCGCCAUUUAAAGUGGUACGCGAGCUGGGUUUAGAACGUCGUGAGACAGUUCGGUCCCUAUCUGCCGUGGGCGCUGGAGAACUGAGGGGGGCUGCUCCUAGUACGAGAGGACCGGAGUGGACGCAUCACUGGUGUUCGGGUUGUCAUGCCAAUGGCACUGCCCGGUAGCUAAAUGCGGAAGAGAUAAGUGCUGAAAGCAUCUAAGCACGAAACUUGCCCCGAGAUGAGUUCUCCCUGAGACUU
Molecule: ribosomal RNA, 2331 nt
Filed under: Salmonella enterica
Lineage: Bacteria; Pseudomonadati; Pseudomonadota; Gammaproteobacteria; Enterobacterales; Enterobacteriaceae
Description: bacterial LSU rRNA
Rfam family: Bacterial large subunit ribosomal RNA
Source: RNAcentral